RNAcentral lists this ribosomal RNA (235 nucleotides) under uncultured Lactobacillus sp. Its description in RNAcentral is "partial 16S ribosomal RNA". It matches the Rfam family "Bacterial small subunit ribosomal RNA", at positions 127 to 354 of the family's 1533-position model. Lineage: Bacteria; Bacillati; Bacillota; Bacilli; Lactobacillales; Lactobacillaceae. The record is from RNAcentral.
UGCCCAAGAGAUCGGGAUAACACCUGGAAACAGAUGCUAAUACCGGAUAACAACANAUGAUGCCUAUCAACUGUUUAAAAGAUGGUUCUGCUAUCACUCUUGGAUGGACCUGCGGUGCAUUAGCUAGUUGGUAGGGUAACGGCCUACCAAGGCGAUGAUGCAUAGCCGAGUUGAGAGACUGAUCGGCCACAUUGGGACUGAGACACAGCCCAAACUCCUACGGGAGGCAGCAGAA